ACUACGGAGAGUUUGAUCCUGGCUCAGGACGAACGCUGGCGGCGUGCUUAACACAUGCAAGUCUACGAGAACGAGGUAGCAAUAUCUUUAUUAAAGUGGCGCACGGGUGAGUAACACGUAAGUAACCUACCUUUAGAUUUGGAAUAACCCCGAGAAAUCGGGGCUAAUACCGAAUGAUGCAGCGGCACCUCAUGGUGAUGUUGUUAAAGUCUAUACGGCGUCUAAAGAUGGGCUUGCGUCUGAUUAGCUAGUUGGUGAGGUAACGGCCCACCAAGGCUACGAUCAGUAGCUGGUCUGAGAGGAUGAUCAGCCACACUGGAACUGAGACACGGUCCAGACUCCUACGGGAGGCAGCAGUGAGGAAUAUUGGGCAAUGCCCGGAAGGGUGACCCAGCAA
RNAcentral lists this ribosomal RNA (397 nucleotides) under Ignavibacteria bacterium. RNAcentral describes it as "bacterial SSU rRNA". It matches the Rfam family "Bacterial small subunit ribosomal RNA", at positions 1 to 394 of the family's 1533-position model. The record is from RNAcentral. Lineage: Bacteria; Pseudomonadati; Ignavibacteriota; Ignavibacteria.